GAUGAACGCUGGCGGCGUGCCUAAUACAUGCGAGUCGAGCGAACAGACGAGGAGCUUGCUCCUCUGACGUUAGCGGCGGACGGGUGAGUAACACGUGGAUAACCUACCUAUAAGACUGGGAUAACUUCGGGAAACCGGAGCUAAUACCGGAUAAUAUAUUGAACCGCAUGGUUCAAUAGUGAAAGACGGUUUUGCUGUCACUUAUAGAUGGAUCCGCGCCGCAUUAGCUAGUUGGUAAGGUAACGGCUUACCAAGGCAACGAUGCGUAGCCGACCUGAGAGGGUUGUCGGCCAACAUGGAAACGGAGACCCGUCCCAGCCCCCAACGGAGGCAGCAAGAAGGAAUCUUUCCGCAUGGGGCGAAGGCCUGACGGGACACCCCCGCGGGAGGAAUAAGGUUUUCGGGAGCUAAAAACUCUUUCAUUAGGAAAAAACAAAUGUGAAAGUAACUAUGCACGCCUGCAGGUUCCCUAAUAAGAAGGCCACGGCAAACCACGUC
Molecule: ribosomal RNA, 498 nt
Filed under: uncultured bacterium
Lineage: Bacteria
Description: partial 16S ribosomal RNA
Rfam family: Bacterial small subunit ribosomal RNA
Source: RNAcentral